This 230-nucleotide ribosomal RNA is filed under the name uncultured microorganism. RNAcentral describes it as "partial 16S ribosomal RNA". It matches the Rfam family "Bacterial small subunit ribosomal RNA", at positions 524 to 753 of the family's 1533-position model. The record is from RNAcentral.
UACGAAGGGUGCAAGCGUUACUCGGAAUUACUGGGCGUAAAGCGUGCGUAGGUGGUUGCUUAAGUCUGCUGUGAAAGCCCUGGGCUCAACCUGGGAAUUGCAGUGGAUACUGGGCGACUAGAGUAAGGUAGAGGAUAGUGGAAUUUCCGGUGUAGCAGUGAAAUGCGUAGAGAUCGGAAGGAACAUCUGUGGCGAAGGCGACUAUCUGGGCCAUUACUGACACUGAGGCA